Molecule: ribosomal RNA, 166 nt
Filed under: Allenbatrachus grunniens (grunting toadfish)
Lineage: Eukaryota; Metazoa; Chordata; Actinopteri; Batrachoidiformes; Batrachoididae
Description: partial 12S rRNA
Source: RNAcentral
CACCGCGGUUAUACGGGCCACCAAGAAAAUAAACUCGGCACAAAGGGUGGUUAAAGACUAACUAUCAAAUGAAGUCAAACACUAGCAUAAGUAGUGAAAAGCUGGUUUAGCAUGAAGCCCAUUAUACAAACAACUCCAUUCACUUGACCCCACGAAAACUAAAGAA